UAGGGAAUCUUCGGCAAUGGGGGCAACCCUGACCGAGCAACGCCGCGUGAGUGAAGAAGGUUUUCGGAUCGUAAAGCUCUGUUGUAAGAGAAGAACGUGUGUGAGAGUGGAAAGUUCACACAGUGACGGUAACUUACCAGAAAGGGACGGCUAACUACGUGCCAGCAGCCGCGGUAAUACGUAGGUCCCGAGCGUUGUCCGGAUCUAUUGGGCGUAAAGCGAGCGCAGGCGGUUUAAUAAGUCUGAAGUUAAAGGCAGUGGCUUAACCAUUGUUCGCUUUGGAAACUGUUAAACUUGAGUGCAGAAGAGGAGAGUGGAAUUCCAUGUGUAGCGGUGAAAUGCGUAGAUAUAUGGAGGAACACCGGUGGCGAAAGCGGCUCUCUGGUCUGUAACUGACGCUGAGGCUCGAAAGCGUGGGGAGCAAACAGG
This 429-nucleotide ribosomal RNA is filed under the name bacterium. RNAcentral describes it as "partial 16S ribosomal RNA". It matches the Rfam family "Bacterial small subunit ribosomal RNA", at positions 355 to 776 of the family's 1533-position model. The record is from RNAcentral.